RNAcentral lists this ribosomal RNA (402 nucleotides) under Verrucomicrobiota bacterium. RNAcentral's name for it is "Verrucomicrobia bacterium partial 16S ribosomal RNA". It matches the Rfam family "Bacterial small subunit ribosomal RNA", at positions 355 to 776 of the family's 1533-position model. Lineage: Bacteria; Pseudomonadati; Verrucomicrobiota. The record is from RNAcentral.
UGGGGAAUAUUGCACAAUGGGCGCAAGCCUGAUGCAGCAACGCCGCGUGAACGAUGAAGGUCUUCGGAUCGUAAAGUUCUGUUGCAGGGGAAGAUAAUGACGGUACCCUGUGAGGAAGCCCCGGCUAACUACGUGCCAGCAGCCGCGGUAAUACGUAGGGGGCUAGCGUUGUCCGGAAUUAUUGGCGUAAAGGGUACGUAGGCGGUCUAUUAAGUCAGGUGUGAAAGCGUGAGGCUUAACCUCAUUAAGCACUUGAAACUGAUAGACUUGAGUGAAGGAGAGGAAAGUGGAAUUCCUAGUGUAGCGGUGAAAUGCGUAGAUAUUAGGAGGAAUACCGGUGGCGAAGGCGACUUUCUGGACUUUUACUGACGCUCAGGUACGAAAGCGUGGGGAGCAAACAGG